Molecule: ribosomal RNA, 469 nt
Filed under: Citharichthys sordidus (Pacific sanddab)
Lineage: Eukaryota; Metazoa; Chordata; Actinopteri; Pleuronectiformes; Cyclopsettidae
Description: partial 16S ribosomal RNA
Rfam family: Bacterial large subunit ribosomal RNA
Source: RNAcentral
GGUCGCGCCUGCCCAGUGACAUCUGAUUAAACGGCCGCGGUAUUUUAACUGUGCUAAGGUAGCGCAAUCACUUGUCUUUUAAAUGAAGACCUGUAUGAAAGGUAUGACGAGGGCUUAACUGUCUCCUUUUCUAAGUCAAUGAAAUUGAUCUCCCCGUGCAGAAGCGGGGAUAAUAACAUAAGACGAGAAGACCCUGUGGAGCUUGAGACGUCAGAGCGGACCCCGUUAAAAAUGCCUAAAAGCUAUAAACUGAAGGGCGACCACCCUAGUGUCUUCGGUUGGGGCGACCAUGGGGAAAACAAAUCCCCCACGUGGACUAAGAGCACAAACCCCUUUCCUAUAACCCCACUCUUACAAACCAGAGCAACAGCUCCAAUUAACAGAAUUUCUGACCAAAAAUGAUCCGGCAGUGCCGAUCAACGAACCAAGUUACCCCAGGGAUAACAGCGCAAUCCCCUUUUAGAGCCCC